CCAGACUCCUACGGGAGGCAGCAGUGAGGAAUAUUGGUCAAUGGUCGGGAGACUGAACCAGCCAAGCCGCGUGAGGGAUGAAGGUACAGAGUAUCGUAAACCUCUUUUGUCAGGGAACAAAGGCGGGGACUAGUCCCCGGAUGAGGGUACCUGAAGAAAAAGCAUCGGCUAACUCCGUGCCAGCAGCCGCGGUAAUACGGAGGAUGCGAGCGUUAUCCGGAUUUAUUGGGUUUAAAGGGUGCGUAGGCGGUCCGUUAAGUCAGCGGAAAAAUGGCGGGGCUAAACCCCGUCGAGCCGUUGAAACUGGCAGACUUGAGUUGGCGAGAAGUACGCGGAAUGCGCGGUGUAGCGGUGAAAUGCAUAGAUAUCACGCAGAACUCCGAUUGCGAAGGCAGCAUACCGGCGCCCGACUGACGCUGAGGCACGAAAGCGUGGGUAUCGAACAGGAUUAGAUACCCCAGUA
Molecule: ribosomal RNA, 463 nt
Filed under: uncultured bacterium
Lineage: Bacteria
Description: bacterial SSU rRNA
Rfam family: Bacterial small subunit ribosomal RNA
Source: RNAcentral